GACGAACGCUGGCGGCGUGCCUAAUACAUGCAAGUCGAACGAACCGCGACUAGGUGCUUGCACUUGGUCAAGGUGAGUGGCGAACGGGUGAGUAACACGUGGGUAACCUACCUCAUAGUGGGGGAUAACAGUCGGAAACGACUGCUAAUACCGCAUAGGACAUAGGAUCACAUGAUCCAGUGAGGAAAGGUGGCGCAAGCUAUCGCUAAGAGAUGGACCCGCGGUGCAUUAGCUAGUUGGUAGGGUAAAGGCCUACCAAGGCGAUGAUGCAUAGCCGACCUGAGAGGGUGAUCGGCCACAUUGGGACUGAGACACGGCCCAAACUCCUACGGGAGGCAGCAGUAGGGAAUCUUCCGCAAUGGACGCAAGUCUGACGGAGCAACGCCGCGUGAGUGAAGAAGGUCUUCGGAUCGUAAAGCUCUGUUGUUAGAGAAGAACAGCGCAUAGAGUAACUGUUAUGCGUGUGACGGUAGCUAACCAGAAAGCCACGGCUAACUACGUG
This 502-nucleotide ribosomal RNA is filed under the name uncultured bacterium. Its description in RNAcentral is "partial 16S ribosomal RNA". It matches the Rfam family "Bacterial small subunit ribosomal RNA", at positions 28 to 507 of the family's 1533-position model. The record is from RNAcentral.